RNAcentral lists this unclassified non-coding RNA (213 nucleotides) under plant metagenome. RNAcentral describes it as "partial contains small subunit ribosomal RNA, internal transcribed spacer 1, and 5.8S ribosomal RNA". The record is from RNAcentral.
UUUCCGUAGGUGAACCUGCGGAAGGAUCAUUCAUAAUCAGUGUUUUAUGGCACUCUUUUAAAUCCAUAUCCACCUUGUGUGCAAUGUCAGGGUUGAUUUUUCUCUCGAGAGGAUCAACCUCAAACAACAACUAUAUCUCAACUCUUUGUCUGAAAAAUAUUAUGAAUAAAACAAUUAAAAAUACAACUUUCAACAACGGAUCUCUUGGCUCUC